ACAGAAGCUAAGUCGCCCCGGGUACCCGCGUCUCCAAUAAAGCCUCUUGUUUUUACAUCCAGUUCGUGGCCUCGCUGAUUCCUGGGUGUGGGUCUCCCUCUACGAAAGUACCUCUUCGGGGGUCUUUCAUUUGGGGGCUCGUCCGGGAUAGAGACCCCCACUCAGGGACCACCGACCCACGUUUGGGAGGUAAGUGUUGUGCGGAUCCGCUGUUUUGUCUUGUCUGGUCUGAGUCCGUCUUGUGAAUUGCACUUGCGUUUGUAGUAUACAGCUGUGUACAUUUGUAUUUGGCGGCUCCGAGAGGAACUGACGAGUUCGGACUCCCGACCGCGGCUCCAGGAGACGUCCUGGUAGCGUUUGUAGCCCUCGGCGUGAGGGAUUUGUAGGGAUUUGUACUUUGGAGCCCUCGGCGUGAGGGAUUUGUACUUUGAACCUAGAUCUAUGACUGGACAUCUUCCCAGUCUCUUUGGAGAAAGCCCUCGGCUUGAGGGAUUUGCAAUCUUUACUGGGGACGAAGAAGGAGGGCCCCCUUCUUCGACCGACCCCCUCUCAAUUCUUCCUUUCGACUCUCUGUCGAAACCGCGCUGCGAAAACCUGUUCUGUGUUCUGUGUUGUUUGGCCUUUGUUUUGUAAUUGAUGUGCAUAAACGCAAAUGAAUUACUCUUUGUUCCUCAGCUCGAGCGUAUAAACUUAUCUGGCCUGAUCCGGACAUCUAAACGGCCUUAAAGUUAUUAAGAACUGUAAAAAGGACUUUGAUAAAAUUUUGAUGUUAACUGAGAAAUGAAAAAAAAAUGUAGGAGACUUAAAUAAUAAAGAGGGAAAGGAAAAAAGAAACUUGUCUAAGAAUGUCUAAGAGAGUCAGAGAAAUGAACUAAAAGGUUAUAGAGAGUUAAAGCAAGCGGUAAAAGUUACAGAGGGUUAAAGCAAGUUAUUGGAGGUCACAGAAAGUUACAGAGGGUUAAAGCAAGUUGUAGAAGGUCAGAGGAAAGUUGUCAAAGGUCAGAGAAAAGGUUGUUACAAGUCACAGAAAAACCCUGCCUAAGAAGUUAAGCUACUGUUUAAGGAAUCCUGGCACUUAGAUGUGCCUGCCCUGGCCUUGCAUCACCUGUACCUCUCUAGAGCAGGUGCUAAUUAUUUACAGAAAUAAGACCUUACCUAGCCACCUGUAGAUACUUAAUGUAUGCUUAAGGCAAGUAAUUAAAACAGACAAACAGACCUCUAAUGCUUCAGAGAUCUUCAGAAUAUGGC
Molecule: long non-coding RNA, 1248 nt
Filed under: Cricetulus griseus (Chinese hamster)
Lineage: Eukaryota; Metazoa; Chordata; Mammalia; Rodentia; Cricetidae
Description: lncRNA (ENSCGRG00015029204.1)
Rfam family: Gammaretrovirus core encapsidation signal (bases 257-355)
Source: RNAcentral